AUGGUGUGGUAUAAAAACAGGGGCGAUGGGCGAGCUGCUUUCCUUCGCCUUCUCCUUGCCCAACUAGCUAAGAUUGAUUUGAAAAAAAUCACUGCCCUGGAUUCGAUGGGGCGAUCUCUUGCUGAAUCAGGGACUAGUGGGACGACCAGAGGUGAAGAUGACGAUGCGUUACCGACGUUGCCUGAUCCGCCGUCGUCUCCUUCCUAUGUUGAGUCGGCAGCUAGCGCUUGGAGCACCACAGAUCUGCCGGACGAAGACGGCGGCGGCAACGGGGCGGGCGAUGUCGUCCAAGGGGAUAAGCGCAUGAUUCUGUCACUGAACCAGUUAGAAGGGGCAGAGGACAAGCAAGAAUCAAUGGAGGAAGGAUUCGGCGAUUAUGAUUCAGUUGGUGCUGUCGAAUCGACGAACAGCAAUGGAGGCUUGGUCAUCAACGCCAUACCUGAAAUCCGGGGCGCGCAGGAGGGGGAAGAUUCUUUCGAUGAGGAUGCAACUACCAGCCGUUUCAGUAAGAGACGCCGCAUGAUAGAGUAG
RNAcentral lists this ribosomal RNA (531 nucleotides) under Triticum aestivum (bread wheat). RNAcentral describes it as "partial small subunit ribosomal RNA". Lineage: Eukaryota; Viridiplantae; Streptophyta; Magnoliopsida; Poales; Poaceae. The record is from RNAcentral.